Molecule: ribosomal RNA, 348 nt
Filed under: uncultured Helicobacter sp.
Lineage: Bacteria; Pseudomonadati; Campylobacterota; Epsilonproteobacteria; Campylobacterales; Helicobacteraceae
Description: bacterial SSU rRNA
Rfam family: Bacterial small subunit ribosomal RNA
Source: RNAcentral
AAGUGGAUUAGUGGCGCACGGGUGAGUAACGCAUAGGUAAUAUGCCUCAUAGUCUAGGAUAGCCACUGGAAACGGUGAUUAAUACUGGAUACUCCCUAUGGGGGAAAGUUUUUCGCUAUGAGAUUAGCCUAUGUCCUAUCAGCUUGUUGGUGAGGUAAUGGCUCACCAAGGCUAUGACGGGUAUCCGGCCUGAGAGGGUGAACGGACACACUGGAACUGAGACACGGUCCAGACUCCUACGGGAGGCAGCAGUAGGGAAUAUUGCUCAAUGGGGGAAACCCUGAAGCAGCAACGCCGCGUGGAGGAUGAAGGUUUUAGGAUUGUAAACUCCUUUUGUUAGAGAAGAUA